CUCUUUUUGAUUAUAAUUUAAAGUAGGGCCUGCCCACUGAAUAUUUAAAGGGCCGCAGUAUUUUGACUGUGCAAAGGUAGCAUAAUCAUUAGUUUUUUAAUUGAAAGCUAGAAUGAAUGGUUUGAUGAAAAAAUUUCUUUCUUUAUUUAAUUUUAAAAUAAAUUUAUUUUUAAGUUAAAAAGCUUAAAUAAUUUUAAUAGMCGAGAAGACCCUAUAGAGUUUAAUUUUUUAAAUAAAUAAAUUUUUAGAAUUAAAAAAUUUAAUUAUCUAAAAAAAUUUAAUUGGGGUGAUUAUAAAAUUAAAUUAACUUUUAUUAUUUGAAACCAUUAAUUUAUGAAUAAAUGAUCCAUAAUAAUGAUUAAAAGAAUAAAUUACCUUAGGGAUAACAGCGUUAUUUUUUUUUAGAGUUCAAAUCGAAAAAAAAGAUUGCGACCUCGAUGUUGGAUUAAAGUUAAUUUUAGGUGCAGAAGCUUAAUAAUUGGGGCUGUUCGACCAUUAAAACUUUACA
Molecule: ribosomal RNA, 508 nt
Filed under: Hippodamia variegata
Lineage: Eukaryota; Metazoa; Arthropoda; Insecta; Coleoptera; Coccinellidae
Description: partial large subunit ribosomal RNA
Rfam family: Archaeal large subunit ribosomal RNA (bases 382-508)
Source: RNAcentral